This 371-nucleotide transfer-messenger RNA is filed under the name Actinomycetaceae. RNAcentral's name for it is "Asp313 sp015062745 Standard tmRNA". It matches the Rfam family "transfer-messenger RNA". Rfam says of the family: Bacterial tmRNA, also known as 10Sa RNA or SsrA, is named for its dual tRNA and mRNA-like properties. RNAcentral also lists the same sequence under 1 other name. The record is from RNAcentral. Lineage: Bacteria; Bacillati; Actinomycetota; Actinomycetes; Actinomycetales.
GGGGAUGAUCGGUUUCGACGGUGAUUGUUUGUCGAAGGGAAGCGGGUCGAGGAUGCAGAGUCAUCUCGUUAACGACUCUCUGCAAACCAAUAGGUGCCAACUCUAAGCGCACCGAUUUCGCCCUCGCCGCCUGAGCGAGCUCCGAAAUCCGUCGGCCCGAGGGGGCUUCUUCCUCGGAGUCCGGCGUCGUCUUAGGAAGCCACUGCUGAGUCCGCAUGUUGCGGGCGAACUCGGAACACUAACGUAACUAGGUUCGUCAGAAACACGUCUGCGUGAGUUCUGGAGCCGAAAACAACGACUAGCAGACUGCACCCGGAGAAGACUUGGGCAUGCAUUACCGGACGCGAGUUCAAUUCUCGCCAUCUCCACUG